GGCUGCUUGGCUAAAGGGUACAGCGUCGCACUUGUAAUGCGAAGACCGGGAGUUCGAAAUCUCCCAGUAACCU
RNAcentral lists this transfer RNA (73 nucleotides) under Sphaerobolus stellatus SS14. RNAcentral describes it as "tRNA-Thr (TGT) (tRNA-Thr-TGT-6-1)". It matches the Rfam family "tRNA". Rfam says of the family: Transfer RNA (tRNA) molecules are approximately 80 nucleotides in length. Their secondary structure includes four short double-helical elements and three loops (D, anti-codon, and T loops). Further hydrogen bonds mediate the characteristic L-shaped molecular structure. tRNAs have two regions of fundamental functional importance: the anti-codon, which is responsible for specific mRNA codon recognition, and the 3' end, to which the tRNAs corresponding amino acid is attached (by aminoacyl-tRNA synthetases). tRNAs cope with the degeneracy of the genetic code in two manners: having more than one tRNA (with a specific anti-codon) for a particular amino acid; and 'wobble' base-pairing, i.e. permitting non-standard base-pairing at the 3rd anti-codon position. Lineage: Eukaryota; Fungi; Basidiomycota; Agaricomycetes; Geastrales; Sphaerobolaceae. The record is from RNAcentral.